This 77-nucleotide transfer RNA is filed under the name Acidobacteriota bacterium. RNAcentral's name for it is "Acidobacteria bacterium tRNA-Pro". It matches the Rfam family "tRNA". Rfam says of the family: Transfer RNA (tRNA) molecules are approximately 80 nucleotides in length. Their secondary structure includes four short double-helical elements and three loops (D, anti-codon, and T loops). The record is from RNAcentral. Lineage: Bacteria; Pseudomonadati; Acidobacteriota. RNAcentral also lists the same sequence under 1 other name.
CGGGACGUGGCGCAGCCUGGUAGCGCACCUGAAUGGGGUUCAGGGGGUCGCGAGUUCGAAUCUCGCCGUCCCGACCA